AAUUUAGUUCAUAUAAAGUAGCGUUUCGAGUGAGGGGAAGAGAGAGAGAGCGGGGUAGAGAUGGAACCAUCGGUGGUUUUGGGUGAAAAAGAUUACUUGGCAUGCUGUGGGAGCGUCAGAUUUGCCGAGGAGAUGGUUUUAGCUGGACCCUUCUCCGAUUAUCAACGAACUGUUAAUGCUGCGAGAGAUAUCUGGUUCAACAAAGUCUGUCCCUCUCCCUCUCUUUCUCUCUAUUUACACUGAUGAUUAUGUAUAUAUGUGUGAGUUUUCUUAUUGGGCGAAUGAAUCUGUUUUCAGGUGGAUGUGAAUGGGUGGUUGGAAGCCUUUGCUGCUCAUCCGCAGAUUGGUGAAAGCCCUUCUAGAACCCACAAAAGUCCCACCAGUGCACAGUUCAGUUUUCUGCCCCUCUCAAAUAUUUUCUUUUCAUUUGUUGUUAAUUUUUUGGGGGGUUUGGGGUGUGGGUGGGAGACCCUGUGGGCUAGAUUGAUUUCAAGGUUUUGAUUUCAACACUUCUGACUUAAUGAUCCGGACCAAGCCCCGAGUUCUUGACUGAACUAGAUAUUCAUUUAGUUUUUGUUUUUCUGAAUUCCAUUACAUGAUUUUUGCUUGAUCAAUGACAGUGAGCUCAGAAGUGAUUUGAACUCAUGAGAUGACUAGAAGAUUUUUAUGCUCUUCUCUUAUGAAUUAUUUCAAGAAAAAUCUGAACUUUUUAUUUCUUACAUCUGAUUGUGGAAUUUAUAUCUCGGAAGAUCAGAAUCUCUGAUAAUUCUAAGUUAACUGAGAUUAGUUAGUUUGAGCGUGUAGUUUGUUUUCAUUUAUCUUCUCGGGUUCUGUUUUUAAACCGGGAAGGGGACCGGGAGUUGACUGAAAGGAUUGUGGUUCUCAACUACAAUAGAUCCAAAAGUGAUGCCAAACGGUUUUUAACACACUGCAGUCGAGUGCUCCACACUCCACUUUACAAAACAAUAAUAAGAAUUCUGCUUCCUUAUUUGGCUUGACUACACGAAAACCCUUUAUCUGAACUUUUCUUGAUUAGAGGUCAACAUUUCUUGAUUAGAGCUGCAUCUACAACAAUGGAGUCAAUGUGUUUUGCAACCAUUCCAAGCCAUGUUAAUUUUGAUUUUCUCUUCUAUCUUUCAAUUUGUUGGGUUGGGAUGGUGGCUCAAAUUGUAAAUGACAACUUAUUUUUGCUUAAACAAGAAAUAUUGCAAUUUUUUAUAAUUCUUCCUUUAAUUUAUACUCAAUUAGUGACCUGCAUUUGUUAGUUUAUAUUAUCAUUACUUAUUUUAUUCAUUAUUGUUUGGCCACGUGCAUUUUACCAUUUAUAUUCAUGCUAUUUUCAAUUAUCAAUUUUUUUUAAUGGUUAUACACGCAACACAUACAAUAUAGCUUGCCCAGAAGCCCUUUCCUAAAAUUUGUUCUGUUUAUCGAUUCUCCAUUCUAUCUCAACACACUUUAUACUGUGCCUUACGUUUACUUCUAUCCCUUAUUGAUAAUCGAAUCUAAAUACCCAACGAAAUUGCUUUUCAACAAAAGAUUCUCUAUUUUGAUUCCAUUGUCAUCCUUAUUGCUAUUACUGAAAAUGAUAUUAUUUGGAUUCCAUUUCAGUAUACUGAAGCUGAAACCCGAUACCCUUGAAUUCUAAAGUGCUCCUCAAAAUGUUUACUUUACGGAACUCAUAGCGUAUAAUCUAAAACAAGUAUCCAUUACUCAUAAUAUAGUUCAAUUGACUUCAUACCGGACACGUAGCAUCCCUAAAAUUUCUAUAGCAUUCGUAUGUUGAGCUCUUUAAUUUCUUACAAUUUAGUGCAACAAGUCUAGAGCCAUUGGGCUUGGUCCAUGUGUGAAAUAUUUGCUCAAAUGUAACCCUCAAUUCUAGCCCAAUAAAAAUAAUUUCAAUGCCAUAUGAUGGAUUUAUUUCCAUUUUCAACAAGGGUUGAUUGACAUAAUAGUAACCUGCAUGGUUUGACAAGUAAACAACCCAGGUUCUAAUCACCAUUUAUUUUACUCGGAAGUGUUUGACGUACAAAUGCUAUGAAAAUUUUCUGGGUGCUACAGGAUAUUUUGUAAGCUAUAGACAACUGUGAAAGAACAAAAAGGAAAAGGACUUAAUUGAUAACCUUGGUGUCAUAU
This 2133-nucleotide long non-coding RNA is filed under the name Olea europaea subsp. europaea. Lineage: Eukaryota; Viridiplantae; Streptophyta; Magnoliopsida; Lamiales; Oleaceae. The record is from RNAcentral.